AAUUCAAUAAUCUAAUUGUGUUUCAGGCAAUGGUAUACGCAUGGGCUGUUUGGGUGGAGAAUGGGAAGCAGAUGGAAGGAGUUUUGCCAUUGAACUGGAUCGACACAGAGACCAAAGUGUUGCGAUGAACUCUAAAAAACGUGUCUGUGGCACAUAAGCGCCUUUUACAACCACAAGAGGACUGGUUAAGCUUUGAAUUUGUUAAAGUCAAAGUGAAAUCAGUAAGCCGACAGGAGUGUGAAAAAUAUAAUUACACCUCAGCUCAAACCGAAGAGGAGGACACAGUCAGUCAAAAGAGAAUGAAGAAAAGAAGGAAAUUUGAAGAUUAAGUUCAAGGGUCAGAUUUGUCUCCUGAGGAGGAUGAGUCCUUGCCAGACAAGAAAAAGGG
Long non-coding RNA from Esox lucius (northern pike), 388 nucleotides. RefSeq lists it as uncharacterized. NCBI's taxonomy places the organism in Eukaryota, Metazoa, Chordata, Actinopteri, Esociformes, Esocidae. The transcript has 3 exons. The record is from RefSeq and is a predicted model, not a curated record.